AAGAUACUUCCUCCGUUUCAAAUUACUCGUCAUUAGAAAUGGAUGUAUCUAGAACUAAAAUACAUCUAGAUACAUCCAUACCUGCGACAAGUAAUUCAGAACGGAGGGAGUAUAAG
Triticum aestivum (bread wheat) is the source of this 116-nucleotide non-coding RNA. Lineage: Eukaryota; Viridiplantae; Streptophyta; Magnoliopsida; Poales; Poaceae. The record is from Rfam.